RNAcentral lists this ribosomal RNA (253 nucleotides) under uncultured bacterium. RNAcentral describes it as "partial 16S ribosomal RNA". It matches the Rfam family "Bacterial small subunit ribosomal RNA", at positions 524 to 776 of the family's 1533-position model. The record is from RNAcentral.
UACGUAGGGUGCAAGCGUUAAUCGGAAUUACUGGGCGUAAAGCGUGCGCAGGCGGUUUCGUAAGUCUGUCGUGAAAUCCCCGGGCUUAACCUGGGAAUGGCGAUGGAGACUGCGGGGCUAGAGUUUGGCAGAGGGGGGUAGAAUUCCACGUGUAGCAGUGAAAUGCGUAGAGAUGUGGAGGAACACCGAUGGCGAAGGCAGCCCCCUGGGUCAAAACUGACGCUCAUGCACGAAAGCGUGGGGAGCAAACAGG